This 2512-nucleotide small RNA is filed under the name Pongo abelii (Sumatran orangutan). Its description in RNAcentral is "processed transcript". Lineage: Eukaryota; Metazoa; Chordata; Mammalia; Primates; Hominidae. The record is from RNAcentral.
GGGGAAGAAGUCCCGGGCGGUACCCGGCCGUAGGCCCAUUCUGCAGCUCUCUCCGCCGGGUCCUCGGGGCAGCACGCCGGGCCGGGACCCGGAGCCGGAACCCGACAGUGAACCGGACUCAACGGCGGCGGUCCCCAGCCAGCCCGCCCCGUCGGCGGCGACGACCACCACCGCGGUGACUGCCGCCGCGGCCUCGGACGACUCGCCUUCAGAAGAUGAACAGGAAGCGGUGCAGGAGGUUCCUAGAGUUGUUCAGACUCCUCCAAAACCAGUCAUGACCACUAGACCCACAGCUGUUAAAGCAACAGGCGGUCUAUGCUUACUUGGUGCUUAUGCUGACAGUGAUGACGAUGACAAUGAUGUUUCCGAAAAACCAGCACAAUCCAAAGAGACAAAUGGAAACCAGUCAACUGAUAUUGAUAGUACAUUGGCCAACUUCCUAGCGGAGAUCGAUGCCAUAACAGCUCCUCAGCCUGCAGCUCCUGUAGGAGCUUCUGCUCCACCUCCAACUCCACCUCGACCAGAGCCAAAGGAAGCAGCAACAUCUACCCUUUCUUCUUCUACUUCAAAUGGAACAGACUCCACCCAAACAUCUGGAUGGCAAUAUGAUACUCAGUGUUCACUGGCAGGAGUCGGAAUUGAGAUGGGCGAUUGGCAGGAAGUCUGGGAUGAGAACACGGGAUGUUAUUAUUAUUGGAAUACACAAACAAAUGAAGUGACUUGGGAGUUACCCCAGUAUCUUGCCACACAGGUACAGGGAUUACAGCAUUACCAGCCCAGUUCUGUGCCAGGUGCUGAAACUAGUUUUGUGGUAAAUACAGACAUAUAUUCUAAGGAGAAAAUGAUUUCUGUUUCCAGUAGUAAAAGUGGACCAGUCAUAGCCAAGCGAGAAGUUAAAAAGGAAGUAAAUGAAGGAAUUCAGGCUCUCUCAAAUAGUGAGGAGGAGAAGAAAGGGGUGGCAGCAUCGCUGCUUGCUCCUUUAUUGCCUGAGGGAAUAAAAGAAGAAGAAGAGAGAUGGAGAAGAAAAGUAAUUUGUAAAGAAGAGCCAGUUUCAGAAGUAAAAGAAACAAGUACAACAGUAGAAGAAGCAACAACAAUAGUAAAGCCACAGGAAAUUAUGUUGGACAAUAUAGAAGACCCUUCUCAGGAGGAUCUUUGCAGUGUUGUCCAAUCUGGAGAAAGUGAGGAGGAAGAGGAACAAGAUACCCUUGAACUGGAGCUAGUUUUGGAAAGGAAAAAAGCAGAGUUGCGAGCCUUGGAGGAAGGAGAUGGUAGUGUGUCAGGGUCUAGUCCACGUUCUGAUAUCAGCCAGCCAGCAUCUCAAGAUGGAAUGCGUAGGCUUAUGUCUAAAAGAGGAAAAUGGAAGAUGUUUGUUCGAGCUACCAGUCCAGAAUCUACCAGCAGGAGUUCUAGUAAAACUGGACGAGAUACUCCAGAAAAUGGAGAAACUGCAAUUGGUGCUGAAAAUUCAGAAAAAAUAGAUGAGAAUUCAGAUAAAGAGGUGGAAGUAGAAGAAUCUCCAGAGAAAAUAAAAGUACAAACAACACCAAAAGUAGAAGAAGAACAGGAUUUGAAAUUUCAGAUUGGAGAACUGGCAAAUACCCUGACAAGUAAAUUUGAAUUUCUAGGCAUUAAUAGACAAUCCAUCUCCAACUUUCAUGUGCUGCUCUUACAGACUGAGACUCGAAUUGCAGACUGGCGGGAAGGGGCUCUUAAUGGAAACUACCUUAAACGAAAACUUCAGGAUGCAGCAGAACAACUAAAACAGUAUGAAAUAAACGCCACUCCUAAAGGCUGGUCCUGCCACUGGGACAGGUACGCACUCUUCUCCCCUUUUCACCUUUCACCUUUGACAUCUCAGACAUGAUUUGUGAUCACCACCAUCUGACGACAUGACAGCCUGUCUGGAGACUGAGAGCAGCUGCAGUUAGCGGUGCUGGGCAGGCAAAGCACCGCAAGCACAAAGUUUGGCCAGCCACACAUUGGAGAAACAAAAGCAAUGUUUAAAGUGUUCCAUGUAACGGAUUUUUUCCCAAGAUAUGGACAAAGCUGGUUUUUACUCUCCAGAGUGUUGCACGGAGUAGGGCGGGCUUGGGGGUUAAGCGCAUGCGAGAGCUCUGUGCGCUUUACAGGACCUCUGGAAGCAACUACUCCUGAUUAACCUCGGUGAAGUUAAGGAAAACUUCGUGGCUGAAGAUGUGAAUGAAGAACAAGAUUACUAUCCUCUGCCAGCAGGUCAGAUGAAAACAUUUCUUUAUAUAUUUGGCUUUUCUUGAUUUUUUUUUCGUUAUUUGAAAUCUUUGCUCUUUUAUUUUUCAGCUCCCAGAUCCUCUCCCUCUCUUUAGCUUUCACUGUGUUUGAUAUCAAGAAUAUGAAAUGUGAAUUCCACGGUCCAAGAGGGGAAGAGUCACCUUUCACAAACUUCGUUGUUCUCUUCUUUGGAAGGGAAAUUAGUGUUCUAGGCGAUUGAGUCCCUUCAUUAAUGAAACUUGAAACCCUGUUAUGCAUUGGC